UCUGCACCCAAACCCAAAGGUCUCGUUCUUCUCCGUAGCGAGAUUUUGUCUGGCGUGCAAACAGAACCAGAACCUUGUCGCCUUUCUCUGACUGUCGUGUCUUUGAAAGUGAAUUCUUGGUCCGACACUA
RNAcentral lists this small nucleolar RNA (130 nucleotides) under Cyprinodon variegatus (sheepshead minnow). RNAcentral's name for it is "Small nucleolar RNA SNORA68 (ENSCVAG00000020309.1)". It matches the Rfam family "Small nucleolar RNA SNORA68". From Rfam's summary of the family: U68 is a member of the H/ACA class of small nucleolar RNAs (snoRNAs) which act as guides in the the modification of uridines to pseudouridines. The record is from Rfam by way of RNAcentral. Lineage: Eukaryota; Metazoa; Chordata; Actinopteri; Cyprinodontiformes; Cyprinodontidae.